Molecule: ribosomal RNA, 253 nt
Filed under: uncultured bacterium
Lineage: Bacteria
Description: partial 16S ribosomal RNA
Rfam family: Bacterial small subunit ribosomal RNA
Source: RNAcentral
UACAGAGGUCUCAAGCGUUGUUCGGAUUCAUUGGGCGUAAAGGGUGCGUAGGCGGCUUGUCGCGUCGGCUGUGAAAACCCGCGGCUCAACUGUGGGCGGGCAGCUGAUACGGGCAGGCUGGAGUUCGGUAGGGGAGACUGGAAUUCCUGGUGUAGCGGUGAAAUGCGCAGAUAUCAGGAGGAACACCGGUGGCGAAGGCGGGUCUCUGGGCCGAUACUGACGCUGAGGAGCGAAAGCGUGGGGAGCGAACAGG